Molecule: ribosomal RNA, 313 nt
Filed under: Triatoma rubrovaria
Lineage: Eukaryota; Metazoa; Arthropoda; Insecta; Hemiptera; Reduviidae
Description: partial 16S ribosomal RNA
Source: RNAcentral
UCCUUUUGUUUAUUGAUUUAAGGUCUGACCUGCCCGAUGAGGAAUUGAAUGGCCGCAGUAUUUUAACUGUGCUAAGGUAGCAUAAUCAUUUGUCUUUUAAUUGAGGGCUGGAAUGAAGGGUUGGACGAGGUAUUAGCUUUCUUUAAUUUAGUUAGGAGAAUUUAAUUUUUGAGUUAAAAAGCUUAAAUUUAUUUGUGGGACGAGAAGACCCUAUAGAUCUUUAUAGUUUAAUAUUUUAGUAAUUUAGGGAUUUAUGUAUUUUAAGUAGAAGAACUAUUUUGUUGGGGUGACUGUAGAAUUUGAAUAACUUCUA